Molecule: ribosomal RNA, 410 nt
Filed under: uncultured Methylomirabilota bacterium
Lineage: Bacteria; Methylomirabilota (SeqCode)
Description: bacterial SSU rRNA
Rfam family: Bacterial small subunit ribosomal RNA
Source: RNAcentral
AGCGUGGAGACAGGUGGUGCAUGGCUGUCGUCAGCUCGUGUCGUGAGAUGUUGGGUUAAGUCCCGCAACGAGCGCAACCCUCACCUCUUGUUGCCAUCAGGUCAUGCUGGGCACUCUAGAGGAACUGCCCCGGUCAACGGGGAGGAAGGCGGGGAUGACGUCAAGUCAUCAUGCCCCUUACGUCCUGGGCUACACACGUGCUACAAUGGCCGGUACAAAGGGAUGCCACACCACGAGGUAGAGCUAAACCCAAAAAGCCGGUCUAAGUUCAGAUUGGAGUCUGCAACUCGACUCCAUGAAGGAGGAAUCGCUAGUAAUCGCGUAUCAGCACGACGCGGUGAAUACGUUCCCGGGCCUUGUACACACCGCCCGUCACACCACGAAAGCCUGCUGUACUCGAAGUCGCUGAG